Molecule: long non-coding RNA, 2044 nt
Filed under: Chinchilla lanigera (long-tailed chinchilla)
Lineage: Eukaryota; Metazoa; Chordata; Mammalia; Rodentia; Chinchillidae
Description: lncRNA (ENSCLAG00000027955.1)
Source: RNAcentral
AUGCUUAUUUGCAAGCAACUGGGCAAGGUUUGGGGUGCUGGACCUGGAGGAGGGGCUCAGGAAAGCUUAUUUGCUCCACAAAGCUUAUUCGCAAGCAACUGGGUGAGGUGCUGGACCUGGAGGAGGGGCUCAAGAGGGGCUCAGGGCAGGCGCUUGGAGCUCCCCGGAGGACGGGAUGUAGGCAGUGCGGAAACAGGAGAACGAAGCAAGAGGAGGUCCCUGGAUGCUCUGCUGCCCACUCACGCAGUAGCCAGAACCGUUGCCAAGCACCAAGGAAGGUUCUGGAAACUGGGUGUGUGACCUCCAGGGACUUGAACUUGUCUGCCUUAGGCUUGGCCACAGGUUCUGCUCUUCUGGGCUUUGUGGGGGAGCGGGGAGGAGGAAGUGCCGGGAGAGGCGCUCCGUCAGGCAGCACUGUGGCUUUUCCAUGUUGCAGGAGUGACAAGUGGUGUGCAGCCUUGGGCCCAGGGUCCCAGCGGGGGGACAACUUGUGAGGCUGAGGUGUGGAGGUGGAACAGGCUUUCGGCAGGUGGAGGAAGGGGGAGGCAGCCCAGGGGAGGGCUGUGGCCAGGGUCCCCGCGUCCUUGUCCCAGCUCUGCUGGGAUCCUCUGUCUCCCCAUUCACAGCUCUCUUUGUGCUGCUUCUCCUGGAUACCUGAGGAAUAAAAUUAGCAGAAGACUCCUGAUUCAAGAUUGGGCCAGGAGCUCUGUCAGGGAUGCCAGAGCACCACUACAAUGUCAGCAGACAGGCGGGGUGGCUUCUAAUGAAAGCGGCCUGGGGAGAUGUGUUGAAGAAAUACUUAGGCAAGCAUCUCGGGCUGCAAAGGUUAGGACGGAUGGGAAGAGGGUGGGAUGAACCCCUUCUCGCUCCAAGGGCCACUGUUCAGUGACAGGUGACCCCAAGCCAGCCUGCUACAAUCCUGUGUGCACUUGGCUGUCUGCGGCACCUGGGCUUUAAUAAAUCAGAACAAAUCUUUAAUGAUCAGGUUUAGAGGGUACUCACGGGCUAAGCUGAGGAGGGCCUGUGUGCUUGGCUCUGACCUCACAAACCAGCUGGCUGUGACCUCCUUGUGAGGUUUCCUGCGUCCUUGCUGAGUGAGGGUGGGCAGGCCCUUGGGGUCUUAUCCUGUGGCUGUGGUGUCACGUGAGUCUCUCCAGCAGAUAGCAGUGGCUUUCCUAUUGAGACUGACCCACCUUGCUCUUUGCACAGAUCCCACCCCAUGACAGAUCAGUGGGUCAGGCUGCAGCAGGGACUAAGGGGGCGAAUGCCACAGAAGCUCUCCGGAAGGCCUCCACCUCCAGAGGAUGGUCUUAGAAGCUGGUUCAUUAAUGACCACAUAGUCAUGACUGCUGCCUGCAAGGUCCUGCUCCAGGGACGGUGAAAGACCUGGAGUCUCCACAUUGGUGCAAGUGCAGCCUCGUGUUAGUCACGCGGCAGGGGAGUAUAAGCCAGAAUCCUGUUGGGGCAUUUCCAAACUCUCAGUUGGGCGCAGUCAGGCUCACAUAUGGGGCCCAGGCCUUGGUGGCAUGGAGGGGUUUAGCGAGCAUCUGUGCCAGUGCCCUUGGUGGGAAGCUGCGCGGGAACCGUGGAAGAGGAGGCCGGGCGGACCACAGCUAGGAGGCACGGGAGAGCUACACCAUCCGCACCUAGGGCAACUCAAUGUGCUCUGAGAGCGUAGCCAAGGAAGGAAGGUUAAUGUUGAUACGAAUGCAACCUGGGGCAAGGCAGGUCCAGUGUGCCCCGUGGCAUGGCCCCACAGAGCACAAGGGCAGUGACAGCUGUCCUCCCUCCCCUCUGCGAUAACGCUUCAAGGCUCCUGGCCUGGCUCCUGCCCAUCGGGUUAGAGGCAGCACAAGGAGUAAGGCCUGUAUGUGAGUGACUGUGGCACAGGACUGCAUGUGACACAUAGUACCGAGAGGGCCAAGCAGGGUGCCAGGGCCACCCAGAGAGUGCCCUUCUGACUUGUAGGAUGGGGCGGCAUCCUGCAGGGCCCGGCCUUUCAACUUGAGCUUGGAGCCCGGGGACAAGGACUAGCGGUCUAGGC